CCAAUAUUGUCUACAGUAUACAGAUGUAGAGAGAUAGAGAGAUGUAGAUCAUAUUAUAAACUAUUACGCAGUUUUAUCUAAACUCAGUUUUACAGAAACUUCCAACGAUGUGAUCUGAAAUAGUAACCCCCCGCCCCUAAAAAACAUUGGAGGGUUUUCAAGGAAAUGGAAGUUGAAUAUAGAAAAGUGCAUAGUUUUAUAACGUUUGUAAACAAGACAUACUAGAACUCUCAAGGAUGUGAUCUGAUAUUGUAACCCCUAAAAAAACAUUGGAGGAUUUCAAGGAAAUGGAAGGUACGAUUAUGCAGUUGAAUAUAGACAAUGCAUAGUUUUAUUGAUGUUUGUAAGUGGAAGUAUUUUCUAGAAUGUAAACAUAAGAAAUAGUUCAGGGUUUCCAAGAAAACGCAGCAGCAUUGGUAGAAGAAAUUAGAAUACUAGCAUUAUGAAAAUGGUUGGUCUAUGGUGAUAAAGACUUCACAAAGUAAAAUGAAUUGAAGAAUUACAGAUUUGCCGUCAAUUUGGAUCUGAUGGCAGACAAUAAAACAAGAUGACAUCACCAUAUUGUUAUUCUGUGAAGAAGGGGGCCUAUAAAUGAGACUGAAUGGUUGAUGAAGAGUCUCCACAAAGUUAAGUUAAGCUUGUCCAAAACCAAUUUAUUGAUUGAACAAAACUUUAUUAAACGUGACCAAUUUGU
Patella vulgata (common limpet) is the source of this 694-nucleotide long non-coding RNA. RefSeq lists it as uncharacterized. NCBI's taxonomy places the organism in Eukaryota, Metazoa, Mollusca, Gastropoda, Patellidae. The record is from RefSeq and is a predicted model, not a curated record. The transcript is spliced from 3 exons.